AAAACUUUUAACAACGGAUCUCUUGGUUCUGGCAUCGAUGAAGAACGCAGCGAAGUGCGAUAAGUAAUGUGAAUUGCAGAAUUCAGUGAAUCAUCGAAUCUUUGAACGCACAUUGCGCCCGCCAGCAUUCUGGCGGGCAUGCCUGUUCGAGCGUCAUU
This 158-nucleotide ribosomal RNA is filed under the name uncultured Phyllachoraceae. RNAcentral describes it as "5.8S ribosomal RNA". It matches the Rfam family "5.8S ribosomal RNA". From Rfam's summary of the family: 5.8S ribosomal RNA (5.8S rRNA) is a component of the large subunit of the eukaryotic ribosome. It is transcribed by RNA polymerase I as part of the 45S precursor that also contains 18S and 28S rRNA. The record is from RNAcentral. Lineage: Eukaryota; Fungi; Ascomycota; Sordariomycetes; Phyllachorales; Phyllachoraceae.